Molecule: transfer RNA, 89 nt
Filed under: bovine gut metagenome
Description: Selenocysteine transfer RNA
Rfam family: Selenocysteine transfer RNA
Source: RNAcentral
GGGGUGGAAAGGUAUCUGGUGCGCCUCCCGGUCUUCAAAACCGGUGUGGGGCGCGUGCGCGUCCCGGAUGGGUUCGAUUCCCAUACACC